This is a small nuclear RNA of Prolemur simus (greater bamboo lemur), 107 nucleotides long. The record is from Ensembl. NCBI's taxonomy places the organism in Eukaryota, Metazoa, Chordata, Mammalia, Primates, Lemuridae.
GUGCUCACUUCAGCAACACAUGAACUAAACCCGGAAUGACACAGAGCAGGUUAGCACGGCCCCUGCACAAGGCUGACAUGCAGAUGCGUGAAAGAUUCCAUGUUUAA